UCGGGUAAGUUCCGACCUGCACGAAUGGCGUAACGACUUCCCCACUGUCUCCAACAGAGACUCAGCGAAAUUGAAUUCUCCGUGAAGAUGCGGAGUACCCGCGGUCAGACGGAAAGACCCCGUGCACCUUUACUACAGCUUCACACUGGUAUUCGUAAUGACAUGUGUAGGAUAGGUGGUAGACGUUGAAGCAUUUGCGCCAGCAGAUGUGGAGUCAUCCUUGAAAUACCACCCUUGUCCUUAUGGAUAUCUAACCGCGGCGCAACAACGUCCGGGACCGUGUGUGGCGGGUAGUUUGACUGGGGCGGUCGCCUCCUAAAGAGUAACGGAGGCUCGCAAAGGUACCCUCAGCAUGGUUGGUAAUCAUGCGAAGAGCGUAUGAGUAUAAGGGUGCUUGACUGGGAGAUCGACAGAUCGAUCAGGUGCGAAAGCAGGCUUAAGUGAUCCGGUGGUUCCGCAUGGAAGGGCCAUCGCUCAAAGGAUAAAAGGUACUCCGGGGAUAACAGGCUGAUCUCCCCCAAGAGCUCAUAUCGACGGGGAGGUUUGGCACCUCGAUGUCGGCUCGUCACAUCCUGGGGCUGGAGAAGGUCCCAAGGGUUGGGCUGUUCGCCCAUUAAAGUGGCACGCGAGCUGGGUUCAGAACGUCGCAAGACAGUUCGGUCUCUAUCUGUUGUGAGCGUUGGAAAAUUGAGAGGACCUAACUUUAGUACGAGAGGACCGAGUUGGACAUACCUCUGGUGUAUCUGUUGUUGUGCCAAUGGCAGUGCAGAGUAGCUACGUAUGGAUGAGAUAAGCGCUGAAAGCAUCUAAGUGCGAAACUCACCUCAAGAUUAGUUUUCCAUUAAGAGUCGUAGAAGACUACUACGUUGAUAGGCUGCAGGUGUAAAGGCAGUAAUGUCAAAGCCGAGCAGUACUAAUUACUCGA
This 925-nucleotide ribosomal RNA is filed under the name Symbiodinium sp. Mp. Its description in RNAcentral is "partial Bacterial large subunit ribosomal RNA". It matches the Rfam family "Bacterial large subunit ribosomal RNA", at positions 1972 to 2912 of the family's 2925-position model. The record is from RNAcentral. Lineage: Eukaryota; Dinophyceae; Suessiales; Symbiodiniaceae.